CCAGCAGCCGCGGUAAUACGGAGGGUGCAAGCGUUGUUCGGAUUUAUUGGGCGUAAAGCGCGUGUAGGCGGUCUUUUAAGUCUGAUGUGAAAGCCCCGGGCUCAACCCGGGAAGUGCAUUGGAUACUGGGAGACUUGAAUACGGGAGAGGGUAGUGGAAUUCCUAGUGUAGGAGUGAAAUCCGUAGAUAUUAGGAGGAACACCGGUGGCGAAGGCGGCUACCUGGACCGAUAUUGACGCUGAGACGCGAAAGUGUGGGGAGCAAACAGGAUUAGAUACCCUGGUAGUCCACGCCGUAAACGAUGAGAACUAGGUGUCGCGGGUA
Molecule: ribosomal RNA, 324 nt
Filed under: uncultured Geobacter sp.
Lineage: Bacteria; Pseudomonadati; Thermodesulfobacteriota; Desulfuromonadia; Geobacterales; Geobacteraceae
Description: bacterial SSU rRNA
Rfam family: Bacterial small subunit ribosomal RNA
Source: RNAcentral